UAAUUUGACGAGUAGACAACCCAUAUAACAAAAUUGCAUUUCAGGUUUUUCAAGUAUUUUCUGGUUCUUUGCAAUCUGGCAUACCAACCAGUAUAUAUUAAUUUUCGUGAAAGAUAAUUUCGCAUCUACAAAGAUGAUGAUUGUGGGUGCUUUUAAAAUGAUACUAUUAAUUUACUUUAUAAGAAAAAUAACCGGCUUGGAUAUAACAAUAAACGAAACGUAUUAUUGUUACAUAGAAGAUAAUGAGCUUAUCAAAAUUAAUCAUUUUUGUGAUAAAAAUCAGGAAAGAAGUGGUAUAUUUAUAGAAGGAAACAAUGAUACUCACGUAUGGUUUCCUCUUAAUAAUGAACAAUGUAUUGCAAAGAUGGAUAAUGUUAUUGAAAUUGCUACUUGUGAAGAUUACAAUUUAUAUAACGAAGAGAUUAUUGAAAUACCACCACCUUGUGGAAAUGAUGUUUAUGGAAAACCCAUUAACUGUUCGGAUCAAUUUAAUUAAUUAUAAGUAUCUUAUCCAAAUUUGUUUCAUGAUAAGUAAGAUAAGUAAAUACCUAUACUAUAUCAUCGUCUUAUGUAUACAAACCCAUCUUUUAAUAUAUAAAUAGCAGCUAAUUUUUUUCUCAUUUGGCUCAUUUGGUGCAAGCCUUUAAUGUGCAAUUUAGCGCUGAGCAUCAAACAAUCGGUCAUCUUAAGUCGUGGUAAUUAUGUACGUCAACAAAGCCAUUGGAUUUAGAUUCUCGCAAAUUAGAGUUCUGUCUCAACCAUUUGACUAACAAUAAGACUACACAGAGAUAUGUCACCUUGGAGACAAACUUGGGAUUAUUAUCAUUAAGAGGAAGAACAUUAUGAUUUCCUACUUCUGUAAAUCCUAAAAGACCAAGAUUUUUCAAUUCGUCAAUCAUCAUCAUUUUUUUUCAUUCUUCCAAUAAUUUACAAAUUUCUCACAUUCUGAUGUACUUACAUCUAAAUAUGAUCCAAAUACCUCAAAAGAUGUUGUAGUAAGAUGUUGGAUGUGGUCUAAGUGCCGCUAGAGAAGCUGCUAAGUUGAAUCUAUUUCCAACCUUAACAUACUAUUUUUAAACAUAUUAUAAAUAUUAUCUUAUAAAACAUAUUAUAGAUAACCCAAAUCGCAAAAUAACAUUUCUGGUUCUCUUGAAAAACGCAAAUUAAGAAACUACAUGUGGUAUCUUGAAACGUUCAUUGACACCAGUGAUGAUUAACAAGUACGUAAAUAAACAAAUUAGAAAAUGAAAAUUAACUUAACUAGGGAAAGAUAUCUCCUACACAAAGGUUGAACGGAAAAACCCGAAACAGGUUUGUAACUACAUAAAAUAAUAAUAACUAACCAAUAAUUAUCCAAUUAAAUGUUUUUUACGAUCCAUAUAUAACAUUAAAACCUUAAUAUUCUUAUUAAUAUUGUCAACCUGAAUAAGACGUAUUGGACAGCAUGCAGUCACACGGUGUUUUAAAAAUAUUCUUGUUCCUUUACUUUAUAGGAAAAGCAACUAACAUGGUAAUAAAUAUAAACGGAAAUAAUUUCUGUUUUUUACCAGACGAUGAUCUCAAAAAAGCACAUCACACUUGCAAUAACAACGAUCGACAAUUAAAAGGUGAAUCACAAGAAGGCUAUAAUAAAACACAUGUACGGUUUGUUAUAAAUAAUGAAUUAUGUACAGCACAAUUAAGUGAUGUUAUUAAAAUUGCGAUUUGCGAAGAGGAUAAGGAAGCGCACAAAGAAGAAUCAGUUACUGUGCCAUAAACGUAAUUUUUAGCAAAGUGUGGAACUGAUAUUUAUGGAAACGUAAUUAAAAGCAGUAAUUGCUUCAAUUAAUCUCAGUUACACCCAUUUUCUAAUAAUCUCAAUAUGGAAUUUAAUAAACAAUAACCAAUUUAAUUGUGUGAAGAGAAUUAAACGUGCAUCCCACGUUAUUCAUACCUGGAUUUAUAUUCAUUAUCAUCACUGUGAAAUCUCGACAUAUUGCAGCAACAAACAAGUUAAAUCCACGCGCAAUAGGAUCGUUAAUCUUUUAAUAGUGUAAAAGCAAAUGUUAUGUAAUGGAAUGCUUUUAAAUUCGUUCUGCAAAUUUGCUUUGUGGACAUAAAUAGUCUAAUAAUAAAACGAUAAACAAAUAUCUUUUGUAUUAGAAUCAAAAAUUUAUAUUUUUUUAAUCAAUUUCCUUAAUUUAGAUCACCUUUUGAUAACAAAAAUAGUGACACAACACAAAUUUCAUCAUGCAAGAAUGAUAGACAUCAUACGACAAAAUUUAAUACCUUGAAUCAUCCAAUAACGUUGAAAAGAUAUUACGCUAAAAAGCGAAAAGCAGAGAGCUUUUACAUCAGAGCUGAUAAUAUCUGGACAUAUUCGAAAGAGGAGAGGAGAAAGUUUAACUAAGUUAGUCGGUGUACACUUCCACUAAAAAUGCAAAACAAAAGAAUAGAAAACGCUUGAAAAAAUUGUUUGACAAACUUCAGACAUAUCUCGAGAUAGUUCUCAUCGUACGAGGAUCUCAGCUUUGUUACAACGAAAUUAAAAACACUCGUGAAAUAUCCUACUUAAUUUACAUUGAUAGGAUGUUCCAAUAUCAGGACUGACGUGUUAGUAUAACCCCGAUAUGGGCCACGCAGGACGGAUCUGAUAUCGACAGUGCCCAAUCUAUGUGGAAAAGACCUCGGAAAACGAAGGAGUGGUCGCCGUUCAAUCGACCAACAAAUUGACUGAGGGGUCAUAAAUGUAUUACGAACUUCUAACUGCAUAAGGACCCUAUAACUCCGAAUAGACGUAACGAAGCUGUCUUCGCCACCACUUUACAGACGGGUUAUAUAACGCAGCACAAGUUUCAACCCGGCAGGAUAAUUCAAACGAAUCACAAAACAUUUUGCUAAUCUUAAAACUGAAUAUUUCUUUUGUCUAAAUUAAAGACGUCGGCUGUUACGCAUACACUUAGUUUUUCUGAGUUGACUUUUCAAAUUCGUGAUUACCUCGUAAAAACAGUCUGGAAAAAGAAUUCUAAAUUUACAAGGUAAUUCCCGAAAAUGAGAAAAGUGAAGACAAAAAAUCUGAUCUUCUUAUAAUUUGCCUUAAUGUUACGUUACUAACGUAGUAACCACUACCCAACAAACACUUACCAAGUAAUAAAAUGAUUCACAGAUGUAUGAUUAUACGCAUUGUCCAUUGAAUCUUCACACCUUCUCGUUAUUAAUGCCAUAAACAUCACGUGGUGUGUUAGGCAACAUGCAACCGAGCGUUUUAAAAAUAUUUUUGUUAAUUUGCUUUUUAACCAAAACAAGAGGCAUGUUAAUAAAUGUUAAUGCAAGUUAUUUUUGUUUUCUACCAGAUGAAUCUCUUACCCAAACUCAUCAUGUUUGCGAUAGCAGCUAUUAUUACCAACCCACAAACAAAUUUGGCCCAAAUGAAAAUUAUAAUGAGACUCAUGUAUGGUUUGAUGUUAAUCACCAAUUGUGUACCGCAAAAUUAGAUGAUGUUGUACAAAUUGCGAUUUGUGAGAAAAGAACACAAGGUCAUGGCGUUGGAGAUGUUACUGCGCCACCAAUACGAGGAAAAGAUGUUUAUGGGAAACCAAUUAAACAUAAAGAUCAAUUCAAUUAGUAUUAAUGUGAUUUAAUUUUUAAAAUAUAAUAUGAUGUUACAAUUAUUUCUAAUAAAUAUUUUAUAUUAAAUUGAUACAGUAUUUGUACUUAUUUGCAUCACUUUAAAUAAUAUCUUAACACACUGUGGCAUUAACAAAUGAAAUCCAUACGCAAUUGCACCGUUAAUCUUUUAACAGGACAAAAGCAGCCAUUAUGCAACCCAAUGCUUUUAAAUUAGUGCUACUAACGUAUUAACCACUACCCAACAAACACUUACCAAGUAAUAAAAUGAUUCAAAGAUGUAUAUUUAUAUGCAUUGUUUAUUGAAUCUCCAUACCUUCUUGUUAUUAAUGCCAUAAACAUCACGUGGUGUGUUAGGCAACAUGCAACCGAGCGUUUUAAAAAUAUUUUUGUUAAUUUGCUUUUUAACCAAAACAAGAGGCAUGUUAAUAAAUAUUAAUGCAAGUUAUUUUUGUUUUCUACCAAAUGAAACUCUUACCCAAACCCAUCAUGUUUGCGAUAGCAGCUAUUACCAACCCACAAACAAAUUUGGACCUAACGAAAAUUAUAAUGAGACUCAUGUAUGGUUUGAUGUUAAUCACCAAUUUUGUACCGCAAAAUUAGAUGAUGUUGUACAAAUUGCGAUUUGUAACAAUAGAACACAAAUUUAUGCCGGUGGAGAUGUUACUGUACCACCAAUACGAGGAAAAGAUGUUUAUGGGAAUCCAAUUAAACAUAAAGAUCAAUUCAAUUAGUAUUAAUGUGGUUUAGUUUUUAAAAUAUAAUAUGAUGUUACAAUUAUUUCUAAUAAAUAUUUUAUAUUAAAUU
Onthophagus taurus is the source of this 4413-nucleotide non-coding RNA. NCBI's taxonomy places the organism in Eukaryota, Metazoa, Arthropoda, Insecta, Coleoptera, Scarabaeidae. The record is from RefSeq and is a predicted model, not a curated record.